Molecule: non-coding RNA, 165 nt
Filed under: Pan troglodytes (chimpanzee)
Lineage: Eukaryota; Metazoa; Chordata; Mammalia; Primates; Hominidae
Source: RNAcentral
CAUUUUGGGAGGCUGAGGAUGGGGGUGUCCUGGGGCUACCACAGGGAAGGACCCGGCACAGAGCUCCCUCUGGAACCCGGCACUGCGGCCCGCGCCCUCUACUCCCCGCGCGCCGGCCAGCAACCCUCGGCGCUGCCCGGUGCAGCCCGCCCGAGCGCACACAAU